RNAcentral lists this ribosomal RNA (679 nucleotides) under Pseudomonadota bacterium. Its description in RNAcentral is "bacterial SSU rRNA". It matches the Rfam family "Bacterial small subunit ribosomal RNA", at positions 44 to 722 of the family's 1533-position model. Lineage: Bacteria; Pseudomonadati; Pseudomonadota. The record is from RNAcentral.
AUGCUUUACACAUGCAAGUCGAACGGUAGAGGGGGCAACCCCUUGAGAGUGGCGAACGGGUGAGUAAUGUAUCGGAACGUGCCCAGUCGUGGGGGAUAACGUAGUGAAAAUUACGCUAAUACCGCAUACGAUCUAUGGAUGAAAGCGGGGGAUCGCAAGACCUCGCGCGAUUGGAGCGGCCGAUAUCAGAUUAGGUAGUUGGUGGGGUAAAGGCUCACCAAGCCAACGAUCUGUAGCUGGUCUGAGAGGACGACCAGCCACACUGGAACUGAGACACGGUCCAGACUCCUACGGGAGGCAGCAGUGGGGAAUUUUGGACAAUGGACGCAAGUCUGAUCCAGCCAUUCCGCGUGCAGGACGAAGGCCUUCGGGUUGUAAACUGCUUUUGUACGGAACGAAAAAGCUCUUAUUAAUACUAGGAGUCCAUGACGGUACCGUAAGAAUAAGCACCGGCUAACUACGUGCCAGCAGCCGCGGUAAUACGUAGGGUGCAAGCGUUAAUCGGAAUUACUGGGCGUAAAGCGUGCGCAGGCGGUUAUAUAAGACAGAUGUGAAAUCCCCGAGCUUAACUUGGGAACUGCAUUUGUGACUGUAUAGCUAGAGUACGGCAGAGGGGGAUGGAAUUCCGCGUGUAGCAGUGAAAUGCGUAGAUAUGCGGAGGAACACCGAUGGCGAAGGC